UUAUAUUCUCUAAAAAUUAUGAUCAAAUUAUAUUUAAAAUAUAUAUUUAUUCCCAAGCCUACAUUUCUACAUUAUGCAGGCUGGCCGCAUAGAAACCGUGUCCAUUAAUAAUACCCCUUAAAAUAUGUUUAUUGAUAUUUUAAAAAGCUUUAUUCGUAGGCAAUAUUUCUCAAUAUCAAUUUCAAAAUGGAAACAUGUUUGUCCUAAUUUACGAGCGGGGUAAUUUUUUUUAAGUUACCCUCUGUUCAAUAAACCGAACUUAUUUUUCACGAAUUUUUUUUCUGACAGCUCCCUUCUGCUUGCGAACCUCCCACUCCCUCUCUCUCUUCAAUUAUUUUCUCUCUUUAACAAUCAGCACUCAGCACCCAUCCUUCGUCACAUCUCUC
Molecule: long non-coding RNA, 386 nt
Filed under: Amborella trichopoda
Lineage: Eukaryota; Viridiplantae; Streptophyta; Magnoliopsida; Amborellales; Amborellaceae
Description: long non-coding RNA (ATRI_LNC001767)
Source: RNAcentral